RNAcentral lists this ribosomal RNA (442 nucleotides) under uncultured bacterium. RNAcentral describes it as "partial 16S ribosomal RNA". It matches the Rfam family "Bacterial small subunit ribosomal RNA", at positions 338 to 795 of the family's 1533-position model. The record is from RNAcentral.
CCUACGGGAGGCAGCAGUGGGGAAUAUUGGGCAAUGCGCGAAAGCCUGACCCAGCAACGCCGCGUGAAGGAAGAAGGCUUUCGGGUUGUAAACUUCUUUUGACAGGGAAGAGCAGAAGACGGUACCUGUCGAAUAAGCCACGGCUAACUACGUGCCAGCAGCCGCGGUAAUACGUAGGUGGCAAGCGUGGUCCGGAUGGACUGGGUGGAAAGGGCGUGUAGCCGGGCUGACAAGUCAGAUGUGAAAUCCGGGGGCUCAACCCUCGAACUGCAUUUGAAACUGUUGGUCUUGAGUAUCGGAGAGGCAGGCGGAAUUCCUAGUGUAGCGGUGAAAUGCGUAGAUAUUAGGAGGAAUACCAGUGGCGAAGGCGGCCUGCUGGACGACAACUGACGGUGAGGUGCGAAAGCGUGGGGAGCAAACAGGAUUAGAUACCCGAGUAGUC